AGGACGCUCGUAUAUUAAGGAUUGUGUCGUAGAAUAUAGGCACUCUGACGGGUAAGUCCAUUGAGUUGGCGAAGGUUUUUUAGAAUAGGAGGGUUAACAUAGCCUAUGUCCAGGAGAUUAGGUGGAAUGGGUCGAAGGCGAGGAAUGCAGGCGGGUUUAAGCUGUGGUCUGGGGCGUGAGAGGUAAGAAUGGAGUGGGCAUCUUGGUAAAU
This 211-nucleotide long non-coding RNA is filed under the name Nicotiana benthamiana. Its description in RNAcentral is "long non-coding RNA (NBEN_LNC007157)". The record is from RNAcentral. Lineage: Eukaryota; Viridiplantae; Streptophyta; Magnoliopsida; Solanales; Solanaceae.